UAGCAGAGGUGUGUGAAAAGCAGAGCAACGCAGCACCCAAAAUGAUCUUGAAACUACUCAGAUAGAGUAAUUCCUCGACUCAAAAAUAUACAGCAUAUUUCCGUGUCAUUUAGAACAAAAGCCACAAUUCUUAGAAUAGUCUACAAGGUUUAACAUAAGGGUGAUGUCUUAGACUUUUCAACAGGUCACAAGGCUGGGAACAUGGGAACUGGAUUUGAGGGCAGGCUAAAGUGGGAGAAAGCUAUAGUAACACGCAUAGUCUUUGGGUUGAGACACAAAAGGUCUACCCCUAGGAAUAAGCAGUAAAAAGUAAGAAAUCGGCUGAUCCUGGGAAGAACUGAAGACCACUUAAAAUUAAAUCUACAUGACUCUACAUCUGGGAUGCUGGAUUUCCUCACAGCCUUAGAGAGAAGUUGAGAACCAAACAAGUGAGCUUCAUUCUCUACUUCUGGGAGUUGGAUAAUACGUACUGCAGGAACAUAGAAUUAACAAGCAAAAAUCCAGAAGGCAGCAAAAACCAAGCAGUGUGGCCGAAUCAUUAGACCGGCGAGAGGUGAGAAGAAACAUAC
Molecule: long non-coding RNA, 569 nt
Organism: Homo sapiens (human)
Lineage: Eukaryota; Metazoa; Chordata; Mammalia; Primates; Hominidae
Source: Ensembl